AGUUUGAUCCUGGCUCAGGAUGAACGCUGGCGGUAUGCUUAACACAUGCAAGUCGAACGGGGGGCUUAGGCUCCUAGUGGCGGACGGGUGAGUAACGCGUGAGAAUCUGCCCUUAGGACGGGGACAACAGCUGGAAACGGCUGCUAAUACCCGAUGUGCCGAGAGGUGAAACAUUUUAUGGCCUGGGGAUGAGCUCGCGUCUGAUUAGCUAGUUGGUGGGGUAAGAGCCUACCAAGGCGACGAUCAGUAGCUGGUCUGAGAGGAUGAUCAGCCACACUGGGACUGAGACACGGCCCAGACUCCUACGGGAGGCAGCAGUGGGGAAUUUUCCGCAAUGGGCGCAAGCCUGACGGAGCAAGACCGCGUGCGGGAGGACGGCCUAUUGGUUGUAAACCGCUUUUGAUAGGGAAGAAGCUCUGACGGUACCUAUCGAAUUAGCAUCGGCUAACUCCGUGCCAGCAGCCGCGGUAAUACGGAGGAUGCAAGCGUUAUCCGGAAUUAUUGGGCGUAAAGCGUCCGUAGGUGGUUGUUCAAGUCUGCUGUUAAAGCGUGCGGCUUAACCGCAUAUCAGCAGUGGAAACUGGACGACUAGAGUGCGGUAGGGGUCAGGGGAAUUCCCAGUGUAGCGGUGAAAUGCGUAGAUAUUGGGAAGAACACCGGUGGCGAAAGCGCCUGACUGGACCUGCACUGACACUGAGGGACGAAAGCUAGGGGAGCGAAAGGGAUUAGAUACCCCUGUAGUCCUAGCCGUAAACGAUGGACACUAGGUGUUGCCCGUAUCGACCCGGGCAGUGCCGUAGCCAACGCGUUAAGUGUCCCGCCUGGGGAGUACGCUCGCAAGAGUGAAACUCAAGGAAUUGACGGGGGCUCACACAAGCGGUGGAGCAUGUGGCUUAAUUCGAGGCUACGCGAAGAA
Molecule: ribosomal RNA, 916 nt
Filed under: uncultured bacterium
Lineage: Bacteria
Description: bacterial SSU rRNA
Rfam family: Bacterial small subunit ribosomal RNA
Source: RNAcentral